GCCUCUUGACUUAACCAUAAGAGGUCCAGCCUGCCCAGUGACAUUGUUCAACGGCCGCGGUAUCCUAACCGUGCGAAGGUAGCGUAAUCACUUGUCCUUUAAAUGAGGACUUGUAUGAACGGCCACACGAAAGCUAUGCUGUCUCCUUUUUCUAAUCAGUUAAACUAAUCUCCCCGUGAAGAAGCGAGGAUGAUCAUAUAAGACGAGAAGACCCUAUGGAGCUUUAAACAAUUGAAACACUUGUACCCAUCUUCCACACUUCCGACAGUCUACGCUUAAUUUUACACUUUGUUUCUAGCUUUAGGUUGGGGUGACCACGGAGAAAAAACAAACCUCCACGCUGAAAGAGUUAGUCUCUAAACAAAAAGCUACAUCUUUAAGUAUUAAUACAUUAACCUGAAUUGACCCAAUAAAUUGAUCAACGAACCAAG
RNAcentral lists this ribosomal RNA (431 nucleotides) under Anomaloglossus surinamensis group sp. ABGD cluster 6. RNAcentral's name for it is "partial large subunit ribosomal RNA". It matches the Rfam family "Bacterial large subunit ribosomal RNA", at positions 1818 to 2461 of the family's 2925-position model. Lineage: Eukaryota; Metazoa; Chordata; Amphibia; Anura; Aromobatidae. The record is from RNAcentral.